UCCUGAUUCUCCUGUCCUGAGUGAGUGCAAGGGGCUCCCCUGUCGCCGAUGCGUUCUUUGAAGCAGAUGCUGCGCCUGAUACCUGCUGGAGAGUCCCACCGCCUUGAUAAAGCUAAGCUUCAUCGGAAUACUAACAGCCUGAGAAAUACCUAUCAAGAUCAAGUCAGGCCUCAAAGACUGAGUGGCCCCCUCCUCAGUCCUCCCCAGUCCCCCACCCCCAGUGCUAGCCUCCAGCAUUUUUACGUUCUUCCUGAUUUUACCACAGUUUGUGACUUUCAACGUUAAGGAAAAGGAAAGGACGUAAAAUACGCUCCUGCAAUCAUUCAUAUGCUUUUAGAGAAGGCAGCCAAAGUUCUGCCUCUCUGGUAUUUCUCGCACUGAAAUUGGGCAGCUCUGACCACGAGGCCAGAAAUGGCUCAGGAGCUGCCUCUCCUCCACCUCUGAGAAGCGGAAGCUCACCCAACCUCAGCAACCCUGGGUUAGCACAAGUAUACCCACUUCCAAUUCUGAGCUUCACUUUGGCUUCUCAGAGGAGUCCCGAGCAGCUUAUUUCCAGCCAAGCACUGCAGUCUCUUCCAAGACAACAGAACGUGCAACCGGCAUCUACAUUCUUACAAUGAAGGACUGAGAAACACCUCCUGACAGUCACACUACAGGACAGUAACCAUGGGGCUGGUGACAGAGGCAGCCACUUUUCUAAAACGACAGAUCUUCAAAGUCUGAAAGAAACGCAGUGUCCUCACCAGGACGCAGCAGCCUUUCCCACAGCCCAGACUCCAAGGCAAACUGCAGAAGCGACCCUAAAAAUGACAGAAACAUACUCACCAGGGAGAGGCUGGUGGCUCCACCUUCCCAGGAACUGUGCUGUGAAGAUCUGAAGACAGGCACGGGCUCAGGCACCGCUUGCCUAGAGUGUCAAUUUGAA
RNAcentral lists this long non-coding RNA (925 nucleotides) under Pongo abelii (Sumatran orangutan). Its description in RNAcentral is "lincRNA". Lineage: Eukaryota; Metazoa; Chordata; Mammalia; Primates; Hominidae. The record is from RNAcentral.